RNAcentral lists this ribosomal RNA (468 nucleotides) under uncultured bacterium. Its description in RNAcentral is "partial 16S ribosomal RNA". It matches the Rfam family "Bacterial small subunit ribosomal RNA", at positions 28 to 507 of the family's 1533-position model. The record is from RNAcentral.
GACGAACGCUGGCGGCGUGCUUAACACAUGCAAGUCGAACGGAAAGGCCCUGCUUUUGUGGGGUUCUCGAGUGGCGAACGGGUGAGUAACACGUGAGUAACCUGCCCUUGACUUUGGGAUAACUUCAGGAAACUGGGGCUAAUACCGGAUAGGAGCUCCUGCUGCAUGGUGGGGGUUGGAAAGUUUCGGCGGUUGGGGAUGGACUCGCGGCUUAUCAGCUUGUUGGUGGGGUAGUGGCUUACCAAGGCUUUGACGGGUAGCCGGCCUGAGAGGGGGACCGGCGACCUGAGGACUAGGAGAGGCCGCAGUAUCGUAGGGGGGGCAGUGGGGGAAAAUUUUACAGAGUGGCGGGGCGUGUGAGGUGAAGGCGGCGGGAUCGGAAAACCGGCUUGCGGGGGGAGAACAGAUGUGGCCGGAAAGGAGCAGAGCGUGACGGUAACGAAUAAGAAAGCCCCGGCUAACUACGUG